CCUACGGGUGGCAGCAGUGGGGAAUAUUGGACAAUGGGGGCAACCCUGAUCCAGCCAUGCCGCGUGUGUGAAGAAGGCCCUCGGGUUGUAAAGCACUUUCAGUGAGGAAGAACGCCUGGUGGUUAAUACCCAUCAGGAAAGACAUCACUCACAGAAGAAGCACCGGCUAACUCCGUGCCAGCAGCCGCGGUAAUACGGAGGGUGCGAGCGUUAAUCGGAAUUACUGGGCGUAAAGCGCGCGUAGGUGGCUUGAUAAGCCGGUUGUGAAAGCCCCGGGCUCAACCUGGGAACGGCAUCCGGAACUGUCAAGCUAGAGUGCAGGAGAGGAAGGUAGAAUUCCCGGUGUAGCGGUGAAAUGCGUAGAGAUCGGGAGGAAUACCAGUGGCGAAUGCGGCCUUCUGGACUGACACUGACACUGAGGUGCGAAAGCGUGGGUAGCAAACAGGAUUAGAUACCCUAGUAGUC
Molecule: ribosomal RNA, 465 nt
Filed under: Vreelandella stevensii
Lineage: Bacteria; Pseudomonadati; Pseudomonadota; Gammaproteobacteria; Oceanospirillales; Halomonadaceae
Description: partial 16S ribosomal RNA
Rfam family: Bacterial small subunit ribosomal RNA
Source: RNAcentral